CCUCUAUUUAUAAGCUAUCGCUUAAAGAUGAGCCUGCGUCCUAUUAGUUAGUUGGUGUGGUAAGAGCGCACCAAGGCGAUGAUAGGUAGGCGGCCUUAACGGGUGGUCGCCCACACUGGGAUUGAGAUACGGCCCAGACUCCUACGGGAGGCAGCAGUCGAGAAUAGUCUACAAUGGACGAAAGUCUGAUAGUGCGACGCCGCGUGGAUGAAGAAGCAUUUCGGUGUGUAAAGUCCUUUUCUGUGCGAGCAAUGCCUCUAAGAUUAAUAGUUUUAGAGGAGCGAUAUUAACACAGGAAUAAGCUCCGGCUAACUCCGUGCCAGCAGCCGCGGUAACACGGGGGGAGCAAGCGUUGUCCGGAAUUACUAGGCGUAAAGGGUAAGUAGGCGGAAUUGUAAGUCAGGUGUUAAAGGCGUCAGCUCAACUGGCGUAUGGCAUUUGAUACUGUAAUUCUAGAGUAAGGUGGGGGAAGACGGAAUUCCUGGUGUAGCGGUGGAAUGCGCAGAUAUCAGGAGGAACACCAGAGGCGAAGGCGGUCUUCUAUACCAUUACUGACGCUCAAUUACGAAGGUGUGGGUAUCAAACAGGAUUAGAUACCCUGGUAGUCCACACAGUAAACGAUAUACACUAGGUGUUGGGGGAGAUGAUCUUUCAGUGCCGCAGCUAACGCGUUAAGUGUAUCGCCUGGGGAGUACGAUCGCAAGGUUAAAACUCAAAGGAAUUGACGGGGCCCCGCACAAGCGGUGGAGCAUGUUGUUUAAUUCGAUGCAACGCGAAGAACCUUACCAGGGCUUGACAUGUAACUGCAUAUGACGGGAAACCGACAUAGCCUUCGAGGGUGUUACACAGGUGCUGCAUGGCUGUCGUCAGCUCGUGCCGUGAGGUGUUGGGUUAAGUCCCGCAACGAGCGCAACCCCUAUGUUUAGUUGCCAGCACGUAAUGGUGGGAACUCUAAACAGACUGCUGGUGAAAGCCAGAGGAAGGUGGGGAUGACGUCAAGUCAGUAUGGUCCUUAUGCCCUGGGCUGCACACGUGCUACAAUGGCUGGUACAGAAGGAAGCAAUACCGCGAGGUGGAGCAAAUCCCCAAAACCAGCCCCAGUUCGGAUUGGAGUCUGAAAUUCGACUCCAUGAAGUUGGAAUCGCUAGUAAAGGCGUAUCAGCUACGACGCCUUGAAUACGUUCCCGGGCCUUGUACACACCG
RNAcentral lists this ribosomal RNA (1203 nucleotides) under uncultured bacterium. RNAcentral's name for it is "bacterial SSU rRNA". It matches the Rfam family "Bacterial small subunit ribosomal RNA", at positions 198 to 1392 of the family's 1533-position model. The record is from RNAcentral.